GAAAACACAUACAUAGAUAGAUUACUUUAAGAUAAUAAAAUUGGUACCCUCAUUUCAUAACAAGCUCAUAUGUAACAGCAAGCACAGAAGAAACAAGCAGCAAACUAUUAAAUCCACCAUCAGCAUAUUGACACCAAACUCAUUGGAUGUUUAAAGCCAUAAAUAAGUUUUGUUUUCGAGCAUGCUCCGGAAUAAGCUUCUGGAUCGUCUCUCUAGGUAUCCCAGCAAGUUACCUUGUGGUUUAUAGUUGAAGAGUGGAGGAAGGGGGCGACCAUUGGGAAGACGGGUAUUUGGGUCCCUUAAUUCAUCAAAGAAGGGAUGAACACAAGCUUCCAACUUGCAUCGUAAAUUGGGUGAAUACUGGA
Molecule: long non-coding RNA, 365 nt
Filed under: Helianthus annuus (common sunflower)
Lineage: Eukaryota; Viridiplantae; Streptophyta; Magnoliopsida; Asterales; Asteraceae
Description: sRNA HanXRQr2_Chr10g0441911
Source: RNAcentral